GACGAACGCUGGCGGCGUGCUUAACACAUGCAAGUCGAACGGUGAAGCGCCUUCCUUUUUGGUGGGUGUGGAUGAGUGGCGAACGGGUGAGUAACACGUGAGUAACCUGCCCCCUUCUUCUGGAUAACCGCAUGAAAGUGUGGCUAAUACGGGAUAUUCUGGGUCUGUCGCAUGAUGGGUCUGGGAAAGAUAUUGUUUCGGUGGGGGAUGGGCUCGCGGCCUAUCAGCUUGUUGGUGGGGUGAUGGCCUACCAAGGCGGUGACGCGUAGCCGGCCUGAGAGGGUGGACGGUCACACUGGGACUGAGACACGGCCCAGACUCCUACGGGAGGCAGCAGUGGGGAAUAUUGCACAAUGGGCGCAAGCCUGAUGCAGCGACGCCGCGUGAGGGAUGGAGGCCUUCGGGUUGUGAACCUCUUUCGCCAGUGAAGCAGGCCUGCCUCGUUUGUGGGUGGGUUGACGGUAGCUGGAUAAGAAGCGCCGGCUAACUACGUG
RNAcentral lists this ribosomal RNA (494 nucleotides) under uncultured bacterium. RNAcentral's name for it is "partial 16S ribosomal RNA". It matches the Rfam family "Bacterial small subunit ribosomal RNA", at positions 28 to 507 of the family's 1533-position model. The record is from RNAcentral.